GGCGUCUUAGCAAAGUGGUUACUGCGACAGAUUCGAAUAAUACGACUAUCUGUUCCUCUUCGAGGGCGCAGGUUCGAAUCCUGCAGGCGUCG
This 92-nucleotide transfer RNA is filed under the name Pterulicium gracile. RNAcentral describes it as "Pterula gracilis tRNA". It matches the Rfam family "tRNA". From Rfam's summary of the family: Transfer RNA (tRNA) molecules are approximately 80 nucleotides in length. Lineage: Eukaryota; Fungi; Basidiomycota; Agaricomycetes; Agaricales; Pterulaceae. The record is from Rfam by way of RNAcentral.